This 254-nucleotide ribosomal RNA is filed under the name uncultured bacterium. RNAcentral's name for it is "partial 16S ribosomal RNA". It matches the Rfam family "Bacterial small subunit ribosomal RNA", at positions 524 to 776 of the family's 1533-position model. The record is from RNAcentral.
GACGUAGGAGGCGAGCGUUGUCCGGAUUCAUUGGGCGUAAAGAGCUCGUAGGCGGCUUAGCAAGUCGGGUGUGAAACCUCCAGGCUCAACCUGGAGACGCCACUCGAUACUGCUAUGGCUUGAGUUCGGUAGGGGACCAUGGAAUUCCUGGUGUAGCGGUGAAAUGCGCAGAUAUCAGGAGGAACACCGAUGGCGAAGGCAGUGGUCUGGGCCGAUACUGACGCUGAGGAGCGAAAGCGUGGGGAGCGAACAGG